CGGGGUGAGUAAUGUCUGGGAAACUGCCUGAUGGAGGGGGAUAACUGCUGGAAACGGUAGCUAAUACCGCAUAACGUCGCAAGACCAAAGAGGGGGACCUUCGGGCCUCUUGCCAUGGAUGUGCCCAGAUGGGAUUAGCUAGUAGGUGGGGUAACGGCUCACCUAGGCGACGAUCCCUAGCUGGUCUGAGAGGAUGACCAGCCACACUGGAACUGAGACACGGUCCAG
This 228-nucleotide ribosomal RNA is filed under the name uncultured bacterium. RNAcentral's name for it is "partial 16S ribosomal RNA". It matches the Rfam family "Bacterial small subunit ribosomal RNA", at positions 104 to 334 of the family's 1533-position model. The record is from RNAcentral.